This 380-nucleotide unclassified non-coding RNA is filed under the name Hevea brasiliensis (rubber tree). Lineage: Eukaryota; Viridiplantae; Streptophyta; Magnoliopsida; Malpighiales; Euphorbiaceae. The record is from RNAcentral.
GCCAUCCUAACUCCUAAGCCUCAAUGAGAUUUAAGGUGCACUGAAACUAGCAGUCUUCUCCCUGAAUUCUGGAUUGUCUUUCCUCUUUGAAUAAGCAAAUGAAACCAAUGAAGUUGACCAGCAGCAAAGGGGUAUCAGUUUGAAUAUNGCCAAAAAUGUUCCCUGACAUGCUGUGUGACUGCUUGAUAUCCAGGCUGGCUACUUAUCCCCAAGAAAACAUCAUAUUUGUGCACCCAACGACAGGUUUCUUCCUCCACACAGUAAUCAUGAAAUUGUCAACAAGGUGGUAUGUUUUCUUCAUUUCUUGCCAGUGCUAGAUGCACCCAGCAUAGACCAAGAAUUCAACAAUGUAUCUACAGAGUUGAUUUUGCACCUUAGCA